RNAcentral lists this ribosomal RNA (510 nucleotides) under uncultured bacterium. RNAcentral's name for it is "bacterial SSU rRNA". It matches the Rfam family "Bacterial small subunit ribosomal RNA", at positions 15 to 518 of the family's 1533-position model. The record is from RNAcentral.
GAUUCUGGCUCAGGAUGAACGCUAGCUACAGGCUUAACACAUGCAAGUCGAGGGGCAGCAUUGGAGUAGCAAUACUCAGAUGGCGACCGGCGCACGGGUGAGUAACACGUAUCCAACCUGCCGCUUACUCGGGGAUAGCCUUUCGAAAGAAAGAUUAAUACCCGAUGGUAUAAAGAGUUCGCAUGUUCUCUUUAUUAAAGAUUUCGGUAAGCGAUGGGGAUGCGUUCCAUUAGAUUGUUGGCGGGGUAACGGCCCACCAAGUCUACGAUGGAUAGGGGUUCUGAGAGGAAGGUCCCCCCACAUUGGAACUGAGACACGGUCCAAACUCCUACGGGAGGCAGCAGUGAGGAAUAUUGGUCAAUGGACGAGAGUCUGAACCAGCCAAGUAGCGUGAAGGAUGACUGCCCUAUGGGUUGUAAACUUCUUUUAUAUGGGAAUAAAGUGAGCCACGUGUGGCUUUUUGUAUGUACCAUACGAAUAAGGAUCGGCUAACUCCGUGCCAGCCGCAGC